ACGGUCUAGGAUUUGAGUGGAAGUCUAUAAAACGACUACAACUCUAUGGAUUAGUCAGUGAAAUGUCAAAAUUAUUUGACAACAACAAAACGCAUUUACGUAUCUUUUUACACUUAAGUUACUUUAUUUCAUUAAAAUAUAAAUAUUCUUUGGUUUAGAAUUCUAAAAUAUGGCUUUAAAUAAACCAUUAAAUGAAUUUUUAAAAAAAUAUAAACUAAAAAUAUCACAGUCAACUACCCCAGGCUACAUAACCUCUUUUGUGCAAUGUUUUUGUUAAUUAAGUAAAUCUCCCAACAACAAUAUUAUACGGAUGGGGUGGAGAAAUAUAAAAAAAUAAACCGUACCUUAAAAAUCCAGGCAAAACCACCACAGGAUAACCGAUACACGACCAAAAACAAACAACACCAGCCGUUGAUGAAAUGUCCAGAGUACAUUAUUGACUGCAAGAUUUCCAGUUUCUCCACGAUAGUAUAAUUAUCGAUGUAAUAUUAAAACGUGCUCGCGUUGCGGGCACGAACGUGUAUAUUAUUAAUUUUUAAUAAAUUUUCUAUUCGAUGUGUACCCUUCAAUGGUGAUUUGUUCAAGAGUAAUUCCGUCGUUAAUUAUCCCAAUCCAUGAAUUGUCGAUGUAAUAUUAAAAACGUGCUCGCGUUGCGGGCACAAACGUG
Molecule: long non-coding RNA, 667 nt
Organism: Chrysoperla carnea
Lineage: Eukaryota; Metazoa; Arthropoda; Insecta; Neuroptera; Chrysopidae
Exons: 3
Source: RefSeq, a predicted model, not a curated record